UAGGGAAUAUUGGGCAAUGGUCGAGAGACUGACCCAGCCAUGCCGCGUGCAGGAUGAAGGCUUUCUGAGUCGUAAACUGCUUUUAUCAGGGAAGAAUAAGGCUCUUGCGAGGGCUGAUGACGGUACCUGAGGAAUAAGCACCGGCUAACUCCGUGCCAGCAGCCGCGGUAAUACGGAGGGUGCGAGCGUUGUCCGGAUUUAUUGGGUUUAAAGGGUGCGUAGGCGGUUUGAUAAGUCUGGGGUGAAAGCCCGUUGCUCAACAACGGAACUGCCCUGGAUACUGUCAGACUUGAGGACAGACGAGGUUGGCGGAAUAGAAGAUGUAGCGGUGAAAUGCAUAGAUAUCUUCUAGAACCCCGAUUGCGAAGGCAGCUGACUAGACUGUAUCUGACGCUGAGGCACGAAAGCGUGGGGAGCGAACAG
RNAcentral lists this ribosomal RNA (423 nucleotides) under uncultured bacterium. Its description in RNAcentral is "bacterial SSU rRNA". It matches the Rfam family "Bacterial small subunit ribosomal RNA", at positions 355 to 775 of the family's 1533-position model. The record is from RNAcentral.